This 23-nucleotide non-coding RNA is filed under the name Arabidopsis thaliana (thale cress). The record is from RNAcentral. Lineage: Eukaryota; Viridiplantae; Streptophyta; Magnoliopsida; Brassicales; Brassicaceae.
AGGAUGUGGUCGAGUAACAGGUC